CCUACGGGAGGCAGCAGUGAGGAAUAUUGGUCAAUGGGCGCAAGCCUGAACCAGCCAUGCCGCGUGCAGGAAGAAGGUCCUAUGGAUUGUAAACUGCUUUUAUUUGGGAAUAAACCUCUGGUCGUGCACCGGAGCUGAAGGUACCAAAUGAAUAAGCACCGGCUAACUCCGUGCCAGCAGCCGCGGUAAUACGGAGGGUGCAAGCGUUAUCCGGAAUCAUUGGGUUUAAAGGGUCCGCAGGCGGACUUAUAAGUCAGUGGUGAAAGCCUACAGCUUAACUGUAGAACUGCCAUUGAUACUGUAAGUCUUGAAUUCGGUCGAAGUGGGCGGAAUGUGUAGUGUAGCGGUGAAAUGCUUAGAUAUUACACAGAACACCGAUAGCGAAGGCAGCUCACUAGGCCUGGAUUGACGCUCAGGGACGAAAGCGUGGGGAUCAAACAGGAUUAGAUACCCCUGUAGUC
This 461-nucleotide ribosomal RNA is filed under the name uncultured bacterium. RNAcentral's name for it is "bacterial SSU rRNA". It matches the Rfam family "Bacterial small subunit ribosomal RNA", at positions 338 to 795 of the family's 1533-position model. The record is from RNAcentral.